This 497-nucleotide ribosomal RNA is filed under the name uncultured bacterium. Its description in RNAcentral is "partial 16S ribosomal RNA". It matches the Rfam family "Bacterial small subunit ribosomal RNA", at positions 28 to 507 of the family's 1533-position model. The record is from RNAcentral.
GAUGAACGCUGGCGGCGUGCCUAAUACAUGCAAGUCGAACGAAAGCACGAGGAGCUUGCUCUUCUAACGUUAGCGGCGGACGGGUGAGUAACACGUGGAUAACCUUCCUAUAAGACUGGGAUAACAUCGGGAAACCGCUGCUAAUACCGCAUAAUACGUCGAACCGCAUGGUUCAAUGGUGCAAGGCGGCUUUGGCGUCUCAUAUAGAUGGAUCCGCGUCGCAUUAGCUAGUUGGUAAGGUAACGGCUUACCAAGGCAACGAUGCGUAGCCGACCUGAGAGGGUGAUCAGCCACACUGGAACUGAGACACGGUCCAGACUCCUACGGGAGGCAGCAGUAGGGAAUCUUCCGCAAUGGGCGAAAGCCUGACGGAGCAACGCCGCGUGAGUGAAGAAGGUCUUCGGAUCGUAAAACUCUGUUGUUAGGGAAGAACAAAUGCGUGAGUAACUAUGCACGUCUUGACGGUACCUAAACAGAAAGCCACGGCUAACUACGUG